RNAcentral lists this ribosomal RNA (1246 nucleotides) under metagenome. RNAcentral describes it as "bacterial LSU rRNA". It matches the Rfam family "Bacterial large subunit ribosomal RNA", at positions 1667 to 2925 of the family's 2925-position model. The record is from RNAcentral.
UUGAGAUGAGUAUUCUCAGGCGCUCGGGUGAUGAGUUGUUAAGGAACUAGGCAAAUUAACCCCGUAACUUCGGGAGAAGGGGUGCCCAUGCAAAUGGGCCGCAGUGAAUAGCGUCAGGCGACUGUUUAACAAAAACACAGGUCUCUGCUAAGUCGAAAACGAUGUAUAGGGGCUGACGCCUGCCCGGUGCCGGAAGGUUAAAGGGAGUGGUUAGCGCAAGCGAAGCUACGAACUGAAGCCCCGGUGAACGGCGGCCGUAACAAUAACGGUCCUAGGGUAGCAAAAUUCCUUGUCGGGUAAGUUCCGACCUGCACGAAUGGCGUAACGAUCUGACGACUGUCUCAACAACUCGCCCGGCGAAUUUGUGGUUCCGGUGAAGACGCCGGAUGCCCGCCACAAGACGGAAAGACCCCGUGCACCUUUACUAUACCCUAUCAGUGAAUUAUGGGUUGGACUGCGCAGGAUAGGUGGGAGGCUUUGAGAUCGGGUUUUUGGACUCGAUGGAGCCAACGGUGAGAUACCACCCUGUGUAAUCUGUGAUUCUAACCUGCUUCCAUGAUCUGGAAGAGGGACACUGGUAGGCGGGUAGUUUGACUGGGGCGGUCGCCUCCUAAAUUGUAACGGAGGCGCUCGAAGCUGCGUUCAGGUGGUUUGGAAAUCCACCGACGAGUGCAAAGGCAUAAACGCGGUUAACUGCGAGACCUACAAGUCAAGCAGGUGGGAAACCAGGACUUAGUGAUCCGGUGGUUCUGUAUGGAAGGGCCAUCGCUCAACGGAUAAAAGGUACGCCGGGGAUAACAGGCUGAUCGGAGUCAAGAGUUCACAUCGACGCUCCGGUUUGGCACCUCGAUGUCGGUUCAUCGCAUCCCGGGGGUGUAGAAGCUCCCAAGGGUUAGGCUGUUCGCCUAUUAAAGCGGUACGUGAACUGGGUUCAGAACGUCGCGAGACAGUUCGGUCCCUAUCUGUGGUGGGCGCAGGAAAUUUGAGGGGGCUUGGCCUUAGUACGAGAGGACCGGGCUGAACGAACCUCUUGUGAUACAGUUGUCACUCCAGUGGCACAGCUGUGUAGCGAAGUUCGGUUAGGAUAAGCGCUGAAUGCAUAUAAGUGCGAAACCUUCCCCAAGAUGAGAUUUCCCAACCGUAAGGUAAUAAGGGCCGUGGAAGACUACCACGUUGAUAGGACGGGUGUGUAAGAGUAGUAAUACUUUGAGCUAACCGUUACUAAUAGCCCGUUCGGCUUGACCAC